This 925-nucleotide ribosomal RNA is filed under the name Salmonella enterica subsp. enterica serovar Typhimurium. RNAcentral describes it as "partial 23S ribosomal RNA". It matches the Rfam family "Bacterial large subunit ribosomal RNA", at positions 1 to 858 of the family's 2925-position model. Lineage: Bacteria; Pseudomonadati; Pseudomonadota; Gammaproteobacteria; Enterobacterales; Enterobacteriaceae. The record is from RNAcentral.
GGGUUGUGAGGUUAAGCGACUAAGCGUACACGGUGGAUGCCCUGGCAGUCAGAGGCGAUGAAGGACGUGCUAAUCUGCGAUAAGCGCCGGUAAGGUGAUAUGAACCGUUAUAACCGGCGAUUUCCGAAUGGGGAAACCCAGUGUGAUUCGUCACACUAUCAUUAACUGAAUCCAUAGGUUAAUGAGGCGAACCGGGGGAACUGAAACAUCUAAGUACCCCGAGGAAAAGAAAUCAACCGAGAUUCCCCCAGUAGCGGCGAGCGAACGGGGAGGAGCCCAGAGCCUGAAUCAGCAUGUGUGUUAGUGGAAGCGUCUGGAAAGGCGCGCGAUACAGGGUGACAGCCCCGUACACAAAAGCGCAUGUGCUGUGAGCUCGAUGAGUAGGGCGGGACACGUGGUAUCCUGUCUGAAUAUGGGGGGACCAUCCUCCAAGGCUAAAUACUCCUGACUGACCGAUAGUGAACCAGUACCGUGAGGGAAAGGCGAAAAGAACCCCGGCGAGGGGAGUGAAAAAGAACCUGAAACCGUGUACGUACAAGCAGUGGGAGCCCCACCACUAAGCCAGUGGUGAACUCCACAUCCGCAUCCUUUGCUGAGGAUACGGUUAACGGAGCGAAAGCGACGUUCAACCGCAAAACAAGCAGAGGGGGCUUAGUGGUGGGGUGACUGCGUACCUUUUGUAUAAUGGGUCAGCGACUUAUAUUCUGUAGCAAGGUUAACCGAAUAGGGGAGCCGGAGGGAAACCGAGUCUUAAUUGGGCGUUAAGUUGCAGGGUAUAGACCCGAAACCCGGUGAUCUAGCCAUGGGCAGGUUGAAGGUUGGGUAACACUAACUGGAGGACCGAACCGACUAAUGUUGAAAAAUUAGCGGAUGACCUGUGGCUGGGGGUGAAAGGCCAAUCAAACCGGGAGAUAGCUGGUUCUCC